This 253-nucleotide ribosomal RNA is filed under the name uncultured bacterium. RNAcentral's name for it is "partial 16S ribosomal RNA". It matches the Rfam family "Bacterial small subunit ribosomal RNA", at positions 524 to 776 of the family's 1533-position model. The record is from RNAcentral.
UACGGAGGGAGCUAGCGUUGUUCGGAAUUAUUGGGCGUAAAGCGCACGUAGGCGGCUUUGUAAGUUAGAGGUGAAAGCCUGGAGCUCAACUCCAGAAUUGCCUUUGAUACUGCAUGGCUUGAAUCCAGGAGAGGUGAGUGGAAUUCCGAGUGUAGAGGUGAAAUUCGUAGAUAUUCGGAAGAACACCAGUGGCGAAGGCGGCUCACUGGACUGGUAUUGACGCUGAGGUGCGAAAGCGUGGGGAGCAAACAGG